RNAcentral lists this transfer RNA (69 nucleotides) under Camelus bactrianus (Bactrian camel). It matches the Rfam family "tRNA". Rfam says of the family: Transfer RNA (tRNA) molecules are approximately 80 nucleotides in length. Their secondary structure includes four short double-helical elements and three loops (D, anti-codon, and T loops). Further hydrogen bonds mediate the characteristic L-shaped molecular structure. tRNAs have two regions of fundamental functional importance: the anti-codon, which is responsible for specific mRNA codon recognition, and the 3' end, to which the tRNAs corresponding amino acid is attached (by aminoacyl-tRNA synthetases). tRNAs cope with the degeneracy of the genetic code in two manners: having more than one tRNA (with a specific anti-codon) for a particular amino acid; and 'wobble' base-pairing, i.e. permitting non-standard base-pairing at the 3rd anti-codon position. The record is from Rfam by way of RNAcentral. Lineage: Eukaryota; Metazoa; Chordata; Mammalia; Artiodactyla; Camelidae. RNAcentral also lists the same sequence under 2 other names.
GAGGGUAUAGCUCAGUGGUAGAGUGCAUGCUUAGCAUGCAUAAGGUUCUGGGUUCACCCAGUACCUCCA